AGACCCAUUUGAAUCAAAACCAAAAUCGAAACCAGACACCAAAGAAACCAUCGGCGCUUGUCUCUCGUCUGAACUCUGAAGCAGCUAAAAUUGAAACCAGACACUCAAGAAACCUUCGGUGGUCGUCUCCCGUCUGAACUCUGAAGCAACCAAAAUUGAAACCAGACACUCAAGAAAUCUUCGGCGGUCGUCUCUCAUUUGAACUCUGAAGCAACUAAAAUCGAAACCAAACACUCAAGAAACCUUCGGCGGUCGUCUCUUGUCUGAACUAUAAAGCAACUAAAAUCGAAACCAAAUACUCAAGAAACCUUCAGCGGUCGUCUCUCAUCUGAACUCUGAAGCAACUAAAAUCGAAACCAGACACUGAGACAAGAAACCUUCGGCGGUCGUCUGAACUCUGAAGCAACUAUUCUCUGGCAUUCUGAAAAACUUAUUCGAAGAAAUUCUGUGGAAAUCACUGAAGCAACUCAUCUCCGGUCGUCCGAAGAAACUCUAUGGAAAUCUAUAAGAUUGGAACUCUGUGGCUCUUCUCUCUGUGGAAAGAAUAAUCCCCGGUGGCUCUUCUCUUCGGCGGUUCGAAGAAACUCUGGAAAUCAGGAUUUUCUUGCUCUUCUCUCUCAGAUGGAAAUAGGAUGAAUGAACCUAGCAAUGAAAAUGCAAGCAAUUCCGAAGAUGUCAAUGAAACAUCUAUGGCAUCAGGAUCUAGUAAGAGGAGGACUAGAUCUAAAGCUUGGGAACACUUAAAAAAAAAAAGAUUGGAUUCUGGGGAGGAGAAAGCUAUUUGUAUAUAGUGGAAAACAAUAUAUGGGUGGAAGUAAAGGGACAAGCCACUUGUUGAGUCAUUUACCAAGAUGUUCUGGAAUGAAGGAAAUGUGCACUAGUAAACAACAAGCUGAAGUGGAGUUUAAAUUUGAUCAAGAUAGGAGUAGAAUAGACUUAGUGAAGAUGAUAAUGAAGCAUGGGCAUCCAUUUAGCAUAGUUGAAGAAGAAUUUUUUUUCAGAUAUUUGUCAAUAAUCUUCAGCCAUCAUUUAGGUUUGUUUCUAGAAAUACAAUAAAGAAUGAUAUCAUAAAGAUUUACAUGGAUGAAAAGAAGAAGUUGUACAAAUAUUUUGAUGGUUUGGAUUGUCAGAUUAGCUUAACUACUGAUAUGUGGAAUUCGGAAUUGAAUUUGGGGUAUUAUUGUUUAACAACACAUUUUAUAGAUGAUGGGGGAGAGCUGAAGAAGAAAGUUAUUGCAUUUAUGGCAAUUGAGUGUCCCCAUGAUGGAAACACUCUAUAUGAAGUUGUUAUGGAGAGGUUGUUGACUUGGAACAUUGAUAAAAAAAUAUGUUCUAUAAUAGUUGACAAUGCCUCUAACAACGAUGUUAUGGUUAGGGAGCUUAGGAAUUGGCUCUAUGUUAAAGGUUCGCUCUCAUUGAAUGGUGACCUAUUUCGUAUGAGACGUGCUGCUCACAUCUUGAACCUUAUUGUGCAAGAUGGGUUGAGAGAAAUAUCAUCAUUGUUGCAUAAGAUUCAAGAAAGUGCUAAAUAUGUAAGAUUGACACCCCAUAAGAAGCAAAAAUUUGACAAUGAAAGAAGCCAAGCAAAAGCAUAAGAGAGGGAUGGUUGUUGAUUGUCCAACAUGAUGGAACUCCACAUAUGAUAUGUUGGGCAUAGCUUUAGAGUUGAGGGAAGCAUUUGUCGACUAGCCAAGCUCGAUCGUGACUAUAAGAAUCUACCAUCUGAUGAGGAAUGAGAGAUGAGGGCAAUGGUACGAGAUUGUUUGCAAGUUUUUUACAUUUGCACAAAAAAUUUUUCAAAUACUACUUCCCCAACCUCAAAUGUAUUUUUCCUAAUAUUUGCACAAUCAAGCUUUUAUUGCUUUAGUGGCUAGAUAGUGAACAUGAGUAUGUUCAUUCAAUGGCAAAUAGAAUGAAGCAAAAAUAUGAUAAAUAUUGGGAUGAAUGUUCUUUGGUGCUUGCAAUUGCCGUUGUACUUGAUCCCAGGUUCAAGAUGGAGAUUGUAACAUAUUACUACAAUCUCAUUUACGGAGAGAUUGCUGAGAGACAUGUUACAAGAGUUAGAGAGGCAAUGAAUGACCUAUAUUCAGAGUAUGUGGGUUUUGAUACAGAGGAUAGGUCACUUGUAUGCUCUAGUAUUGCAUCUUAGCUAUUGAGGAUUUGGGGUGUUUUAGAUUUUUUGAGUGGUUUUUGAUCGGUGGUUGAUUGUAGAGCAUCCGGAAUGUUGUCUAGGGACUCAAAAGUCAGACUUGGAUCUUUAUUUUGAAGAAAAACUAUUUCCUAGAGGUGAAGAGUUUGAUGUUUUGAGAUUCUAGCGAGUUGAUGGUUUAAAGUUUCCGAAGCUCUCUAGAUUGGCACGCGAUAUUUUGGCAAUUCUAGUAUCAAUUGUAUCAUCCGAGGGAACAUUCAGUAUUGGGGGUAGAAUAGUGGACCAGUUUCAUACUUCAUUACUUCUAGAAACAGUGGAGGCUCUAGUUUGUGGGCAAGACUGGUUAGAAGCUCCAACAACAAAAAAAUUGGAUCUUGAAACCGCUGCUACCUCUCCUGUAUGUGUGGCUUCUAUAACUGACACUAUCCGAACAUGAUGUUGGAGCAUAUUCCAUGCAUCUAGGUUGGACAUAUUUUUUCUUCAUAGGAUGGGUUGAAGUUUUGGCAGAAGAUAAGAGAGGCUGUGAGGCUAUCAAUGGACCAGAUAUUCCAUGAUGAGAAGGUUCAUUUUGGACAAGAUUCAAAGGACAAAUGUAGAGAUGCUGUCUGGUGCCACAAAAGCUACUUUUGCUCAACUUCUUUUCCGAAUACCAUCUCUCAUACAGUGUUUUCUUAUAGUGACCAUAGACACAUUGGAUAAUGCAAUAUAUUGGUCAGAUCAAAAGCUUGGUUGCUGUUUUGUAUAUAGUUGGCUCGAAUUUCUCAGACCAGUAUUCCAUUUUAAGGUGUUUUUCCGCAUUGUUUCCAUGACAUCUAUCAUGUAUCCCAUAUAUCUGGCAUAUUAGAUGUAGCAAAGUGGUUUACAGUUAUAGCUUGCAAAAUACCAAGAAAAGGAACACUGAAAUGGUCUCCCAGUUUAUGAUCCUAUCAUCCCAUCUUACACUGUACAACCAGAGUUCUCUGGUUCUUAUCUUGCAUAUUCAGCUUUUGUUCUUCUCA
Non-coding RNA from Nelumbo nucifera (sacred lotus), 3147 nucleotides. NCBI's taxonomy places the organism in Eukaryota, Viridiplantae, Streptophyta, Magnoliopsida, Proteales, Nelumbonaceae. The record is from RefSeq and is a predicted model, not a curated record.